AAAAGGUUGAAAAGUAUAGAUGGCCAAAUUUCUCAAAAACUUUUAUGCUAUAAUACUUCUUCUUUCCUUGUUUCUUACUUUAUUCCAUAUUGUUGCUUGGGACUGUGUUUCCGAUUGUGAAGCCAUGUAUAGGUGUGAGUCUCCAAAUAGAACUAUGAAGUGUUUUAUGUAUGUAUGUGUGUGCUGGUGGUGGUAACAAUUAUACUUUAUGGUUAUAAGAAGCUAUUAGUAGAGUUUCACUGAUGAAAGAUGAAAGAUGAGUAGAGGAUUAUGCCUAAUUUGUUUUUUUUUGAGAUUUUUAGUAUAGUUGGUUUUCUUGUAUUUCUUAUAAUUUAUUUACUACAAAAGUUAUGUUAUUAUUCAUAAACAUGUCUCAAAAGAAAUAUACAAUAAAGUAAGUCUCAAACAAAGGCACAAUAAAGCAUAUUUAUGAAUUAAUUUACAACUAAAUAGAUUUAGGAUAACAGGGUUGUACUAAUUUAAUGUGAUUA
Molecule: long non-coding RNA, 491 nt
Organism: Vicia villosa (hairy vetch)
Lineage: Eukaryota; Viridiplantae; Streptophyta; Magnoliopsida; Fabales; Fabaceae
Exons: 3
Source: RefSeq, a predicted model, not a curated record